GUGCAUUGUGUUUAUAAUGAAAAUAUUGAGAUAAAUUCAUUUGGAAAGAAAUAACAUAUUUUGAGAAUUUAUGAAAAUAUGUGAUGUGAUCAAAUUGUGAUUAAACAUGUAAAACUAGACAUGUAAUAUGGGUUGGACUAACCUUGUCAUGAGAUAGCCUCUACGAGCUUAUGCGUAGGAUAGCGGCCACGAGCUGAUGCGUGGGAUAGCCUCCACGGGCUUACGCGUGGGAUAGCCUCUACGAGCUUAUGCGUGGGUUGAUUGUGAACCCGGAAAACAAUCAUUGUAAGGUUGUGGUUGGUGAGCCUUUGGGGAAAACCAACCGGGUUGAUUGUGAACCCGGAAAACAAUCAUUGUAAGGUUGUGGUUGGUGAGCCUUUGGGAAAACCAACUGGGUUGGAUUGUGAGCCCGUGAAAACAAUCGGUUGGUUCUAGUCGGUGAGCCCAUGAAAAUCGACCGAGUUCGUUGUGAUCUCGCAAAACAACAAGUUGGGUUGUGAGCUUGUAAAACAACCGACUGUAAUCUAAGGGAUUAUAGUGAAAUUUUCAAGAGGUCUUGGGGAGUGGAUGUAGGUGCUGGGGUGCACCGAACCACUAUACAUCUUUGUGUUUGUGAUGCCUUAUCUCUUGUAUUUCAUGCCUUCCAUUCAUGCUUGAUUGUGUAAUAUCUCUAGCUUUGUUUUCUAUAGAGUUAUAAAUGAUUUGCUUAGCUUCCACUCCAUUCUUACCAUACACAUAGAUUAAAAUUGAUUAUACAACUAUAAGUUAGUUUUAGAUCAAUUGCACCCUAAAGCCAUAGUAUAAUUGCUCUAGCUUAAUCUUCCACUGCUUUACUUGUAAUUGCCUAGAGCUUAAGUAAAUAACAUCUUAUUAUUCCGCUGCAUUCUAUUCAAAGUAAAAAUUAGGGAACAUAAUUUUUAGAAAACCCAAUUCACCCCCCCUCUUGGGUUGUCACCUUGGGCAACACGUAGGAUAGCCUCCACGGGCUUACGCGUGGGAUAGCCUCUACGAGCUUAUGCAUAGGAUAGCCUCCACGGGCUUACGCGUGGGAUAGCUGCCACGAGCUUAUGCGUGGGAUUUGUGCAGUCUUGGACUGGGUCAUGAACUUGGUUAGUCCAAAGCCAGAAGUGAAAAGUCUGG
Molecule: long non-coding RNA, 1140 nt
Filed under: Phoenix dactylifera (date palm)
Lineage: Eukaryota; Viridiplantae; Streptophyta; Magnoliopsida; Arecales; Arecaceae
Description: long non-coding RNA (PDAC_LNC010054)
Source: RNAcentral